RNAcentral lists this ribosomal RNA (468 nucleotides) under uncultured bacterium. RNAcentral's name for it is "partial 16S ribosomal RNA". It matches the Rfam family "Bacterial small subunit ribosomal RNA", at positions 28 to 507 of the family's 1533-position model. The record is from RNAcentral.
GACGAACGCUGGCGGCGUGCUUAACACAUGCAAGUCGAACGGAAAGGCCCUGCUUUUGUGGGGUGCUCGAGUGGCGAACGGGUGAGUAACACGUGAGUAACCUGCCCUUGACUUUGGGAUAACUUCAGGAAACUGGGGCUAAUACCGGAUAGGAGCUCCUGCUGCAUGGUGGGGGUUGGAAAGUUUCGGCGGUUGGGGAUGGACUCGCGGCUUAUCAGCUUGUUGGUGGGGUAGUGGCUUACCAAGGCUUUGACGGGUAGCCGGCCUGAGAGGGUGACCGGCAAGAGGGGUAGUGAUAUAAGCACGAGACGCCGACGGGAGGCGGAAGGGGGGAAGAGGGAAAAAGGGGGGGAAGCUGGAUGAACCAACGCCGCGUGGGGGAUGAGGGCCGGAGGGUUGGAGACCGAUGUAGCCGGUGACGAAGCGGGAGUGAGGGGAAGGGGUAAAGACGAAAAGGCUAAGUAAGGG